CCUACGGGAGGCAGCAGUGAGGAAUAUUGGUCAAUGGGCUUACGCCUGAACCAGCCAAGUCGCGUGAGGGAAGAAUGCCCUAUGGGUUGUAAACCUCUUUUGUCAGGGAGCAACGCCGGCUACGUGUAGCCGGACUGAGAGUACCUGAAGAAAAAGCAUCGGCUAACUCCGUGCCAGCAGCCGCGGUAAUACGGAGGAUGCGAGCGUUAUCCGGAUUUAUUGGGUUUAAAGGGUGCGUAGGCGGAAUGCCAAGUCAGCGGUAAAAGCGCGGGGCUCAACCUCGCUCCGCCGUUGAAACUGGCGUUCUUGAGUGGGCGAGAAGUAUGCGGAAUGCGUGGUGUAGCGGUGAAAUGCAUAGAUAUCACGCAGAACUCCGAUUGCGAAGGCAGCAUACCGGCGCCCAACUGACGCUGAAGCACGAAAGCGUGGGUAUCGAACAGGAUUAGAUACCCUAGUAGUC
This 460-nucleotide ribosomal RNA is filed under the name uncultured bacterium. RNAcentral's name for it is "partial 16S ribosomal RNA". It matches the Rfam family "Bacterial small subunit ribosomal RNA", at positions 338 to 795 of the family's 1533-position model. The record is from RNAcentral.